RNAcentral lists this ribosomal RNA (543 nucleotides) under uncultured bacterium. Its description in RNAcentral is "bacterial SSU rRNA". It matches the Rfam family "Bacterial small subunit ribosomal RNA", at positions 777 to 1314 of the family's 1533-position model. The record is from RNAcentral.
AAUAGAUACCCGGGUAGUCCACGCCGUAAACGUUGGGCACUAGGUGUGGGGCUCAUUCCACGAGUUCCGUGCCGCAGCAAACGCAUUAAGUGCCCCGCCUGGGGAGUACGGCCGCAAGGCUAAAACUCAAAGGAAUUGACGGGGGCCCGCACGAAGCGGCGGAGCAUGCGGAUUAAUUCGAUGCAACGCGAAGAACCUUACCAGGGCUUGACAUACACCGGAAAGCUGCAGAGAUGUAGCCCCCGCAAGGCCGGUGUACAGGUGGUGCAUGGUUGUCGUCAGCUCGUGUCGUGAGAUGUUGGGUUAAGUCCCGCAACGAGCGCAACCCUCGUCCCAUGUUGCCAGCACGUAAUGGUGGGGACUCUUGGGAGACUGCCGGGGUCAACUCGGAGGAAGGUGGGGAUGACGUCAAAGUCAUCGAUGCCCCUUAUGUCCUGGGCUUCACGCAUGCUACAAUGGCCGGUACAAAGGGCUGCGAUACCGCGAGGUGGAGCGAAUCCCGAAAAAGCCGGUCUCAGUUCGGAUUGGGGUCUGCAAGUCCCG